AGAUUGAACGCUGGCGGCGUGCUUAACACAUGCAAGUCGAGCGGUAACGCGGGAGCAAUCCUGGCGACGAGCGGCGAACGGGUGAGUAAUGCUUGGGAAUCUGCCCAUUAGUGGGGAACAACCAGCCGAAAGGUUGGCUAAUACCGCAUACGCCCUACGGGGGAAAGCGGGGGAUCGAAAGACCUCGCGCUAAUGGAUGAGCCCAAGUCGGAUUAGCUUGUUGGUAGGGUAACGGCCUACCAAGGCGACAAUCCGUAGCUGGUCUGAGAGGACGACCAGCCACACUGGGACUGAGACACGGCCCAGACUCCUACGGGAGGCAGCAGUGGGGAAUAUUGGACAAUGGGGGCAACCCUGAUCCAGCGACGCCGCGUGUGUGAAGAAGGCCUGCGGGUUGUAAAGCACUUUUAGUGGGGAUGAAAAGCUCAGGGUUAACACCUCUGGGUCUUGACCUAACCCACAGAAAAGCACCGGCUAACUCUGUGCCAGCAGCCGC
Molecule: ribosomal RNA, 496 nt
Filed under: uncultured bacterium
Lineage: Bacteria
Description: SSU rRNA
Rfam family: Bacterial small subunit ribosomal RNA
Source: RNAcentral